RNAcentral lists this ribosomal RNA (115 nucleotides) under Ignavibacteriota bacterium. The record is from RNAcentral. RNAcentral also lists the same sequence under 1 other name. Lineage: Bacteria; Pseudomonadati; Ignavibacteriota.
UCUGGUGAUUUAAUUCAGGGGAAACACCUCUUCCCAUUCCGAACAGAGUAGUUAAGCCUUGAAUUACCGAUGGUACUGUGCGGGAAACUGUACGGCAGAGUAGGUUUCGCCAGUU